UAGGGAAUCUUCGGCAAUGGGGGGAACCCUGACCGAGCAACGCCGCGUGAGUGAAGAAGGUUUUCGGAUCGUAAAGCUCUGUUGUUAAGGAAGAACGAGUGUGAGAAUGGAAAGUUCAUACUGUGACGGUACUUAACCAGAAAGGGACGGCUAACUACGUGCCAGCAGCCGCGGUAAUACGUAGGUGGCAAGCGUUGUCCGGAUUUAUUGGGCGUAAAGCGAGCGCAGGCGGUCAAUUAAGUCUGGUGUAAAAGCCCCCGGCUCAACCGGGGAGGGUCAUUGGAAACUGGUUGACUUGAGUGCAGAAGAGGAGAGUGGAAUUCCAUGUGUAGCGGUGAAAUGCGUAGAUAUAUGGAGGAACACCAGUGGCGAAGGCGACUCUCUGGUCUGUAACUGACGCUGAGGUACGAAAGCGUGGGUAGCAAACAGG
RNAcentral lists this ribosomal RNA (430 nucleotides) under Bacteroidota bacterium. Its description in RNAcentral is "Bacteroidetes bacterium partial 16S ribosomal RNA". It matches the Rfam family "Bacterial small subunit ribosomal RNA", at positions 355 to 776 of the family's 1533-position model. Lineage: Bacteria; Pseudomonadati; Bacteroidota. The record is from RNAcentral.